GCCUCGGGGGCUAUACAUGCAAGUCGAACGCGAUUAAGGGGCUUGCUCCUUAUGAAAGUGGCGCACGGGUGCGUAACGCGUAUGCAACCUACCUUUAUCAGGGGGAUAGCCCGGAGAAAUCCGGAUUAAUACCGCAUAAAAUCACAGGAUAGCAUUUUCCAAUGAUCAAACAUUUAUGGGAUAAAGAUGGGCAUGCGUGUCAUUAGCUAGUUGGCGGGGUAACGGCCCACCAAGGCGACGAUGACUAGGGGAUCUGAGAGGAUGGCCCCCCACACUGGUACUGAGACACGGACCAGACUCCUACGGGAGGCAGCAGUAAGGAAUAUUGGUCAAUGGAGGGAACUCUGAACCAGCCAUGCCGCGUGCAGGAAGACUGCCCUAUGGGUUGUAAACUGCUUUUAUCCGGGAAUAAACCUACUUACGUGUAAGUAGCUGAAUGUACCGGAAGAAUAAGGAUCGGCUAACUCCGUGCCAGCAGCCGCGGUAAUACGGAGGAUCCAAGCGUUAUCCGGAUUUAUUGGGUUUAAAGGGUGCGUAGGCGGCCUGUUAAGUCAGGGGUGAAAGACGGUAGCUCAACUAUCGCAGUGCCCUUGAUACUGAUGGGCUUGAAUGGACUAGAGGUAGGCGGAAUGAGACAAGUAGCGGUGAAAUGCAUAGAUAUGUCUCAGAACACCGAUUGCGAAGGCAGCUUACUAUGGUCUUAUUGACGCUGAGGCACGAAAGCGUGGGGAUCAAACAGGAUUAGAUACCCUGGUAGUCCACGCCCUAAACGAUGAACACUCGCUGUUGGCGAUACACAGUCAGCGGCUAAGCGAAAGCGUUAAGUGUUCCACCUGGGGAGUACGCCCGCAAGGGUGAAACUCAAAGGAAAUUGACGGGGGCCCGCACAAGCUGAAGGAGCAUGUGGGUUUAAUUCGAUUGAUACGCGAGGAAACCUUACCCGGGCUUGAAAAGUAGUGGACGAUACUAUGAGAUAGUUAUCCUUGAGCCAUCCAACAAAACUAGGUGCUUGUAUGUGCUUGUCGCCACCCUCCGUGCCCUGAAGAU
Molecule: ribosomal RNA, 1047 nt
Filed under: Pedobacter sp.
Lineage: Bacteria; Pseudomonadati; Bacteroidota; Sphingobacteriia; Sphingobacteriales; Sphingobacteriaceae
Description: bacterial SSU rRNA
Rfam family: Bacterial small subunit ribosomal RNA
Source: RNAcentral